AGUCGAACGGUAAGGCCCUUCGGGGUACACGAGUGGCGAACGGGUGAGUAACACGUGGGUAAUCUGCCCUGCACAUCGGGAUAAGCCUGGGAAACUGGGUCUAAUACCGAAUAGGACCACAGAACACAUGUCCUGUGGUGGAAAGCUUUUGCGGUGUGGGAUGGGCCCGCG
This 171-nucleotide ribosomal RNA is filed under the name Mycobacterium gordonae. RNAcentral describes it as "partial 16S ribosomal RNA". It matches the Rfam family "Bacterial small subunit ribosomal RNA", at positions 60 to 235 of the family's 1533-position model. Lineage: Bacteria; Bacillati; Actinomycetota; Actinomycetes; Mycobacteriales; Mycobacteriaceae. The record is from RNAcentral.